This 223-nucleotide long non-coding RNA is filed under the name Phoenix dactylifera (date palm). RNAcentral describes it as "long non-coding RNA (PDAC_LNC009573)". The record is from RNAcentral. Lineage: Eukaryota; Viridiplantae; Streptophyta; Magnoliopsida; Arecales; Arecaceae.
CGAUAAGCAUGACUUGUCUAACCUAGCAUGAUGCAUCUGAUCAUUAAAUCAUUAAACAUGAAAUCGAUAUCACAUGAAUAUCUCCUCCAAACUACAGGUGUUGGAUUCGAUGAAAUAGAUCAAUCUAUGUAAAAUAUUUUAUGCAAGAUAAAUGUUUCACAUAAAUUGGAUAAAUCAAAAGAUCAAUUGAUAAAUUCUUCAUCAUGCAACAAUCUUAUAAUAC